This 31-nucleotide ribosomal RNA is filed under the name Pyrenula thelemorpha. RNAcentral's name for it is "partial large subunit ribosomal RNA". Lineage: Eukaryota; Fungi; Ascomycota; Eurotiomycetes; Pyrenulales; Pyrenulaceae. The record is from RNAcentral.
UUGACCUCGGAUCAGGUAGGAGUACCCGCUG